RNAcentral lists this ribosomal RNA (431 nucleotides) under uncultured bacterium. RNAcentral describes it as "partial 16S ribosomal RNA". It matches the Rfam family "Bacterial small subunit ribosomal RNA", at positions 29 to 507 of the family's 1533-position model. The record is from RNAcentral.
AACGAACGCUGGCGGCAGGCUUAACACAUGCAAGUCGAGCGCCCCGCAAGGGGAGCGGCAGACGGGUGAGUAACGCGUGGGAACGUACCUUUUGGUUCGGAACAACUCCGGGAAACUGGAGCUAAUACCGGAUACGCCCUAACGGGGAAAGAUUUAUCGCCGAAAGCUCGGCCCGCGUCUGAUUAGCUAGUUGGUGAGGUAACGGCUCACCAAGGCGACGAUCAGUAGCUGGUCUGAGAGGAUGAUCAGCCACACUGGGACUGAGACACGGCCCAGACUCCUACGGGAGGCAGCAGUGGGGAAUAUUGGACAAUGGGCGCAAGCCUGAUCCAGCCAUGCCGCGUGAGUGAUGAAGGCCUUAGGGUUGUAAAGCUCUUUUGUCCGGGAAGAUAAUGACUGUACCGGAAGAAUAAGCCCCGGCUAACUUCGUG